GCAAGAUACCACGGGCGCACGGCGGAUGCCUUGGCACAGGGAGCCGAUGAAGGACGCGGCAAGCUGCGAUAAUCCCCGGCGAGGAGCACACAUCCUUCGACCCGGGGGUCUCCGAAUGGGCGAACCCAUCCGUAGAGGUACGGAUAUCCCCCCGCUGAACGCAUAGGCGGGGGGAGGACAACCCGGGGAACUGAAACAUCUAAGUACCCGGAGGAGAGGAAAUCAAUCUCGAGACUCCCCGAGUAGCGGCGAGCGAAAGGGGACCGAUGGCCAAACCGUCGAGCGGGCGUACCCGGCAGGGGUUCCGCCGGCGGGGUUGCAGGGCCGCGCAUCCGGGGGCUGCCGCCCCCGGGCGCAGGUCCGGCUGGGGAGCGGAACGGCAUGGGAGGGCCGGCCGCAGCGGGUGACAGCCCCGUACGCGAACCCAGACCGGACGGCGCGACGCGGUCCCUGAGUAGGGCCGGGCACGUGAAACCCGGUCCGAACCUGGGUGGACCACCAUCCAAGCCUGAGUACUACCCUGUGACCGAUAGCGCACCAGUACCGUGAGGGAAAGGUGAAAAGCACCCCGGGAGGGGAGUGAAACAGUACCUGAAACCGUGCGCCCACGAGCAGUCGGAGCACCCUCCGGGGUGUGACGGCGUGCCUUUUGUAGAAUGAGCCAGCGAGUCGCUGGCGCGGGGCGAGGUUAACCGAAAGGGAGCCGUAGCGAAAGCGAGCCUUAACAGGGCGACUUGAGUCCCGCGCCGCGGACGCGAAGCCGGGUGAGCUAUCCGUGGGCAGGCUGAAGCGGGGGUAAGACCCCGUGGAGGGCCGAACGCACGUCGGUUGAAAACGGCGGCGAUGACCUGCGGAUAGGGGUGAAAGGCCAAUCAAACCCGGAGAUAUCUCGUUCUCCCCGAAAUAGCUUUAGGGCUAGCGUCGCGCGUUCACCGCCGGAGGUAGAGCACCGGAUGGACGAGGGGGCUUCGCCGCCUACCGAAUCCAACCGAACUCCGAAUGCCGGCGGCCCAGAGCGCGGCAGUCAGAGCAUGUGGGCUAAGCUGUGUGCUCGAGAGGGAAACAGCCCGGACCGCCCGCUAAGGUCCCCAAGUUCCAGCCGAGUGGCAAAGGAUGUGCGUCCGCCCAGACAACCAGGAUGUUGGCUUAGAAGCAGCCAUGCAUUCAAAGAGUGCGUAACAGCUCACUGGUCGAGUGGACAUGCGCCGACAAUACACGGGGCUAAGCUGGACACCGAAGCGGCGGGAUUUUAUCUAUAGAAUCGGUAGGGGAGCUUCCCAUGGGCGGAGAAGCCGGAGGGCGACCGACGGUGGAGCGCAUGGGAGUGAGAAUGCUGGCAUGAGUAGCGAGAGACGAGAGAGUAACUCGUCCGCCGUGAACCCGAGGUUUCCUGGGCAAGGCUAAUCCUCCCAGGGUCAGUCGGGGGCUAAGGCGAGGCCGGGAGGCGUAGCCGACGCGCAGCAGGCAGACAUUCCUGCACCGCGCACGCGGCGCUACGACCGACGGGGCGACGGAUGGGGGUGGCUCGGCGGGGUUCUGGACGUCCCCGUGAUGGAGCGCGGCCCGCGGACCAGGGAAAUCCGGUCCGCAUCGAGGGCGAGGCUCCGGACGAAGCGAUUGAGCGAAGCGAGUGAGCCCGAGGUCCCUAGAAAAACCCCUAGGCAGGCGCGUGCGCGCCCGUACCGCAAACCGACACAGGUGGGUGGGUAGAACAUACCGAGGCGAUCGGGUCAACCAUGGUCAAGGAACUCGGCACAAUGGCCCCGUAACUUCGGGAGAAGGGGUGCCCGCGCGUACGUGAACGGACUUGCUCCGGGAGCGGAGGCGGGCCGCAGUGGAGAGGCCCAAGCGACUGUUUACCAAAAACACAGGACUCUGCAGAAGCCGCAAGGCGACGUAUAGGGUCUGACGCCUGCCCGGUGCCGGAAGGUCACGCGGAGGAGUUAGCCGCAAGGCGAAGCCCCGAAGCCAAGCCCCGGUAAACGGCGGCCGUAACUAUAACGGUCCUAAGGUAGCGAAAUUCCUUGUCGGGUAAGUUCCGACCUGCACGAAAGGCGCAACGACUUGGGCGCUGUCUCGACCAUGGACCCGGUGAAAUUGCACUGGUCGUGAAGAUGCGACUUACCCGCGGAAGGACGGAAAGACCCCGUGAACCUUCACUGCAGCUUGGCAUUGGCCGCUGGUCCCGCGUGUAGAGGAUAGGCAGGAGGCGAAGAUCCGGAGGCGCCAGCCCCCGGGGAGCCGCCCUUGGAAUACUGCCCUCGCGCGACCGGCGUCCUAACCCGAGGCCGUCAACCGGCUCGGGGACCGUGCCAGGCGGGCAGUUUGACUGGGGCGGUCGCCUCCUAAAGGGUAACGGAGGCGCGCGAAGGUCCGCUCGGGACGGUCGGCAACCGUCCUUUUGAAUGCAAGAGUACAAGCGGGCUUGACUGCGAGGCCCACAAGCCGAGCAGGUGCGAAAGCAGGCUCUAGUGAUCCGGCGGCCCCGAGUGGGUGGGCCGUCGCUCAACGGAUAAAAGGUACUCCGGGGAUAACAGGCUGAUCUUGCCCAAGAGUCCACAUCGACGGCAAGGUUUGGCACCUCGAUGUCGGCUCAUCGCAUCCUGGGGCCGGAGCAGGUCCCAAGGGUACGGCUGUUCGCCGUUUAAAGCGGUACGCGAGCUGGGUUCAGAACGUCGUGAGACAGUUCGGUCCCUAUCCUCCGUGGGCGCAGGAGAAUCGAUGGAGGCUGCCCCCAGUACGAGAGGACCGGGGUGGACGCACCUCCGGUGAACCGGUUGUCGACCAACGGCACGGCCGGGUAGCCGCGUGCGGCGCGGAUAACCGCUGAAGGCAUCUAAGCGGGAAGCCGUUCCAGGGAUUAGUUCUCCUUCCGGUAAGGGCCCAGGUAGACUACCUGGUCGAUAGACGGCAGGUGCAAGGCUGGCGACAGCCUCAGCCGAGCCGCACUAAUCGCCCGAGCUCUUCCGGAA
RNAcentral lists this ribosomal RNA (2972 nucleotides) under human gut metagenome. RNAcentral describes it as "bacterial LSU rRNA". It matches the Rfam family "Bacterial large subunit ribosomal RNA". The record is from RNAcentral.